Molecule: ribosomal RNA, 310 nt
Filed under: uncultured bacterium
Lineage: Bacteria
Description: bacterial SSU rRNA
Rfam family: Bacterial small subunit ribosomal RNA
Source: RNAcentral
GAUGAACGCUAGCUACAGGCUUAACACAUGCAAGUCGAGGGGCAGCACAGUGUAGCAAUACACGGGUGGCGACCGGCGCACGGGUGCGUAACGCGUAUCGAACCUGCCCUGUACUCGGGGAUAGCCUUGCGAAAGUAAGAUUAAUACCCGAUGUUGUUAUUGUUUCGCAUGAGAUGAUAACCAAAGAAUUUCGGUACAGGAUGGCGAUGCGUGACAUUAGGUAGUAGGUGAGGUAACGGCUCACCUAGCCUACGAUGUCUAGGGGUUCUGAGAGGAGGGUCCCCCACACUGGAACUGAGACACGGUCCAG